GACGAACGCUGGCGGCGUGCCUAAUACAUGCAAGUCGAACGCACUCUCGUUUAGAUUGAAGGAGCUUGCUCCUGAUUGAUAAACAUUUGAGUGAGUGGCGGACGGGUGAGUAACACGUGGGUAACCUGCCCUAAAGUGGGGGAUAACAUUUGGAAACAGAUGCUAAUACCGCAUAAAACCUAAACACCGCAUGGUGUAGGGUUGAAAGAUGGUUUCGGCUAUCACUUUAGGAUGGACCCGCGGUGCAUUAGUUAGUUGGUGAGGUAAAGGCUCACCAAGACCGUGAUGCAUAGCCGACCUGAGAGGGUAAUCGGCCACACUGGGACUGAGACACGGCCCAGACUCCUACGGGAGGCAGCAGUAGGGAAUCUUUCCCACAAUGGACGAAAGUCUGAUGGAGCAACGCCGCGUGAGUGAAGAA
RNAcentral lists this ribosomal RNA (421 nucleotides) under uncultured bacterium. Its description in RNAcentral is "bacterial SSU rRNA". It matches the Rfam family "Bacterial small subunit ribosomal RNA", at positions 28 to 412 of the family's 1533-position model. The record is from RNAcentral.